AGAGUUAGUAAGAAACUUUGAGCGAAAGUGAGUGAGUGUUCUCUCUAAAAGUGUUCAUCAUUUGUAGAUUGUCUUAAUAAAACUUUCUUUCUUCCAAGUGAGUGUCUCUUCCUUUAGUGCCAAUUUCUUCAACGAGUGGUAUCGGAGUAAGUUGAUCGUGGAGUGCAUUCAUCACUACAUGAUGAUGGGUGACCUUCAAGUUGUUGGAGGAAUUAAGAAGCUUAACACUCAGAAUUACAAAACAUGGUCCACAUCUGCAUAAAGUCAUAUCUCUAAGGUCAAGACUUGUGGGAUGUUGUAGGAGGCACUAAAGUUAAUCCACCUGAAGAUACUGCUACUUUGAAGAAAUGGAAUAUCAAGGCAAGUAAGGCUAUGUUUGCAAUUAAAACUACAAUUGAUGAAGAAAUGUUGGAGCCAUUAGUAUUAUGGAGACACCAAAAAAAAGCAUGGGACGCAUUCACCUCACUCUUUUCAAAGAAGAAUGAUGCAAGAUUGUAGUUUUUAAAGAACGAGCUCCUAUCAAUUUCUCAAAGAGAGAUGACUAUCAAUCAAUAUUUCACCAAGGUAAAAUCUCUAUGUCGUGAAAUCUCUAAAUUAGAUCUUACCUCAGCUAUUUCAGAGUCAAAAAUGUUGGAAAAAACAUCAUAGAAAUAUGCAUAAGCGGAAGACUAGGAUCAUGGUUUACUCUAUAUGCAUCUAAACGAUUUAGAAAUUAACAUGCUACAACUAAACGAUGGUCCUAAA
Long non-coding RNA from Cucumis melo (muskmelon), 744 nucleotides. RefSeq lists it as uncharacterized. The transcript is spliced from 2 exons. The record is from RefSeq and is a predicted model, not a curated record. Lineage: Eukaryota; Viridiplantae; Streptophyta; Magnoliopsida; Cucurbitales; Cucurbitaceae.